This is a non-coding RNA of Pelobates cultripes (western spadefoot toad), 234 nucleotides long. The record is from the annotation of a GenBank genome assembly. Lineage: Eukaryota; Metazoa; Chordata; Amphibia; Anura; Pelobatidae.
UAAAAAAAAUACCUACCUUAAAUUGCUCCCAUAUACAUUGAAUACACUUUAUAUCGCACAGAUACAUGGUGUAUCCAAUAAAAAAAAUAUAAAGAUUUAUUCACUUUUCCUCCAUUCCAGUGCUUCCUGCCCGUCCUCCGUCUCUGAGCUGAGCUUCUUGCCGGCAUAGAAACGGAUGACAUUACGUCAGCUAGGGAGUUUCCACAGCCGCCGCAGCACAUGCGCUACGGUUGC